RNAcentral lists this ribosomal RNA (503 nucleotides) under marine sediment bacterium ISA-3142. RNAcentral describes it as "bacterial SSU rRNA". It matches the Rfam family "Bacterial small subunit ribosomal RNA", at positions 56 to 551 of the family's 1533-position model. The record is from RNAcentral.
UGCAGUCGAGCGGAAACGAUCCUAGCUUGCUAGGAGGCGUCGAGCGGCGGACGGGUGAGUAAUGCAUAGGAAUCUGCCCGAUAGUGGGGGAUAACCUGGGGAAACUCAGGCUAAUACCGCAUACGUCCUACGGGAGAAAGCAGGGGAUCUUCGGACCUUGCGCUAUCGGAUGAGCCUAUGUCGGAUUAGCUUGUUGGUGAGGUAAUGGCUCACCAAGGCGACGAUCCGUAGCUGGUCUGAGAGGAUGAUCAGCCACAUCGGGACUGAGACACGGCCCGAACUCCUACGGGAGGCAGCAGUGGGGAAUAUUGGACAAUGGGCGAAAGCCUGAUCCAGCCAUGCCGCGUGUGUGAAGAAGGCUUUCGGGUUGUAAAGCACUUUCAGUGAGGAAGAAAGCCUUGGGGCUAAUACCCCCAAGGGACGACAUCACUCACAGAAGAAGCACCGGCUAACUCCGUGCCAGCAGCCGCGGUAAUACGGAGGGUGCGAGCGUUAAUCGGAAU